ACGGGAGGCAGCAGUGGGGAAUAUUAGGCAAUGGGGGCAACCCUGACCUAGCAACGCCGCGUGAAGGAAGAAGGCCUUCGGGUUGUAAACUUCUUUUAUAGGGGCCGAAACAAAUGACGGUACCCUAUGAAUAAGCCACGGCUAACUACGUGCCAGCAGCCGCGGUAAUACGUAUGUGGCAAGCGUUGUCCGGAUUUACUGGGUGUAAAGGGCGCGUAGGCGGGAUGACAAGUCAGAUGUGAAAUCCAUGGGCUCAACCCAAGAACUGCAUUUGAAACUGCCAUUCUUGAGGAUCGGAGAGGAAAGCGGAAUUCCUAGUGUAGCGGUGAAAUGCGUAGAUAUUAGGAGGAACACCAGUGGCGAAGGCGGCUUGCUGGACGAAAACUGACGCUGAGGCGCGAAGGUGUGGGGAGCAAACAGGAUUAGAUACCCUGGUA
Molecule: ribosomal RNA, 437 nt
Filed under: uncultured Oscillospiraceae bacterium
Lineage: Bacteria; Bacillati; Bacillota; Clostridia; Eubacteriales; Oscillospiraceae
Description: partial 16S ribosomal RNA
Rfam family: Bacterial small subunit ribosomal RNA
Source: RNAcentral